Long non-coding RNA from Pogoniulus pusillus (Red-fronted tinkerbird), 698 nucleotides. RefSeq lists it as uncharacterized. NCBI's taxonomy places the organism in Eukaryota, Metazoa, Chordata, Aves, Piciformes, Lybiidae. The record is from RefSeq and is a predicted model, not a curated record. The transcript has 3 exons.
UACCAGCAUCACCAUCCUGUUCCUCUUUGUUUUACCACGAGGCAGACAAAGCCAGCACCAUCAAAAUCAGAGAAUGUCAGGACUCAACAGAACAAAUGCAGAUAUAUGCAUUGGAGGUAUCUGAAGCUAAGGAGAAUCAUCCUAACCUUUAUUACAGUUCCUGUAUAAUUUAAAAUUCAUGAGGAGUUCUGGCAGUGAAGACUUGAGCCUCAAAUCUGAGACCACACUCCAUUCACACACCAUUCAAUUGGCCCGUAUAUAAGUAGCCUAGGAGCUUUCUCCCUGCCAGGUAAAUAUCCUAAACUGCUAACUGGCUGAGGAUUUCUCACUUGCCUCUGAAUGAAAACUUGUAUUCCUGUAGGCCACGCAAACUAUCUUCAUGAAGAGAGAAAGCAAACACUCUCAUAAAGAAUGUAUUUUUGCUUGAUGACUGUUUGCCCAGAAACGGAGCUACUAUACAAUUACAGUUAUGGUGGAACACUGGAACUUGUUGCCCAGGGAGGUGGUGGAGAUCCCAUCCCUGAAGACAUCCAAGGUCAUGUUUAAUAGAACUCUGAGCACUCUGAUCAAGUUGGAGAUACCCCUGCUGACUGCAGGGGUGUCAGACAAGAUCUUUAAACUGUCCCUUCCAACCCAGUGCAUUCUAUGAUUCAAUGUUGUACAAAGCAACACAAAUACAAUUUCUCUACAACUCUGAA